Molecule: long non-coding RNA, 4887 nt
Organism: Canis lupus familiaris (dog)
Lineage: Eukaryota; Metazoa; Chordata; Mammalia; Carnivora; Canidae
Exons: 3
Source: RefSeq, a predicted model, not a curated record
CAUGAGGAGGAGGUGGGGAGGGGGAUAGAGAGAAGCAGGCUCCCUGCUGAGCAGGGGGCCUGAUGGAGGGCUUGAUCCCAGGACCCCGGGAUCAUGACCUGCAUCUAGAUACAGAGGUUCUUAAGUGUAGAUUUAAUAUCCCUUCUCAUGACAGGGUAAAGAUUGUAUGAAUUUAUGUCUCUCAUUAACUCUAGAGAAAACUCAGUCAUUUUAAAGCAUCUUCUGGAAUUUCUAUCAGUACUGUCAGACACUUUCAUUUUAUUUUCCACAUCUUUUAAUUUCUCUCUCAUAUUCUCUUUACCUCUUUUUGAAACAUUAUGGGCACUUGUAGUUCACUAAUUCUUUCAUCAGGUACAUGUGAUCUACUAUUGAUUUGUCCAUUCAUUUUUUAAAAGGAGGGACUGUUUUGGUAAAAUAUAACACAUGUACAGAGAAAGUGCAUAAAACACAGAUGUACCACUAAGUUAAAUAUUCUAAAGUGAGCACCUAUGUAACAGUCAUCCAAAUCUAGCCACAGAAAUUGUCUAGCUUUCCCCAGAAGCAUUUUAUCCCUUCACAACCACCAGCCUUUCCUCACAAAGUUAACCCCACCCUGACUUUUAUAUUAACACUUUCUUGCAACAGCACACAUACAUGUUUGUAUCCCUUCCUUUGCUUGCCAUUUUGUUUCUGUGCCACACCCACACUGUUACAUGUAAGUGCAGCUCCUCUCUGCUUAGUGCUGGGAUAGCUCAUGUCUGCUUUCCCAACAUCCUAGCUAUUCUUUGUCCUUUUCAUUUCCUUAUCACCGUAUGAUUUCAUUUAUUUAAGGAACAGAACAGGCAAAAGCAGAGAAUUUGAUAUGAACAAGCAAAGAAAAUGAUUUUAUAUGAAGGGCUUGCAAGGCCCACAAAUUACGUGAAAGGUUAAUGGCCUGCUCUUUCAGGAUCCAAAUUUUACUUACUGUUAAAUAAAGUUGCAAAAUACAGAAUACAUAUGGUAUGAUCCCAUUAGACAAAGACAUAUUUUUGCACCUUUGCACCUGUACUACACUACAUACAUAUUUAUCUAUUCAAAUAAUUCUAGAAUCCUAGAAGAUCCAAACUGUUACCAGUGGUUACGUCCAGUAUGUGGAAAUGAAGCAGAAUGCAGGAGGCUGGGAAAGUCUAUCUUUGAGCAUAGGAGGAGCUAUGUGGGCCAGUCUUUUUACAUUUUAUUUAUUUAGAUAACAAGCAUUCCUUUUUUUUUUUUUUUUUUAACAACAUCAGCAAAAGUCAUAUUGUCAGAAGAAAGAAUGAGGAUUUGCUUUUGGGUGCAGCAGGCUCUCCUCUCCUGUAGCUGGUGUUGGUCUUCACCCUCCAGAACACAGCAGAGUCUAUCCAAGGCUUCAGCUUUACAGACCCUAAUGACAUCUUGCAGCCAGCUUCUCAAGAACAAGAAAGUCUUUUCCGGUCAAGAGCAGAAGCUGCAGGAAAUCUAAUAAUGACCAAGGACUUCUUAGGGAGCUGGAUACAGCCCUGAACUAUCCCUGGUGAAGACUAGGACAAGAUUUACCCAGGCUUGCACCAGAUGGUAAGUGCAAGGAGAAAAGACAGGAGGAGACCUUAUAGGUGCCCCACAUUGCACCUGUCCAAUAAGAUGCCCCUUCUUUCCAUCCCUAUGGCCAUCUCCCUAGCCUAGCCCUAGCCUAGACCUUAUUCCCUGCAGGUUUCCUGACUUCUGGCCUUAGUCCUCUCCAAUCUGUGCCCCCACAUAGCAAGACCCAUCACUUCCCAGCUUAAAAGCUGCCCCCAUCUCAGGAAAGUCCACUCCGUGCUGGCCCUCACUGACCCCUCUAACACAGCCCCCUCCUUUCUCCAGAACACACCUCCUCCUAUUCACAAUUCCACACUUUGCACAUGCUGGUGCACUCAGCAGGAACGUCCUCUCCAUCACUCUCUCUUCCCUUGAUGUCUCUCACUCCACCUCCAAAGUCUCCGAGGGGCUUCCUGGAAUUCCCCUCCUAUACCCAUCCCCACCAGGAGUUAGGGACCCACUCCUCUUGACUCAUGGUGCUUGCUUCCUCUGAUGUCAGGUAGAUUCUGUAGGGAAAAUCAACAGGAUUUACCUAUGCUUUAUAAACCUGUCUUUCCUACAGUCUUCUCUUCCUCUAGGCCAGGCCUAGGCUUAUUCACCUCAGGGCAACUAGCACACAGUAGGUACUUAGCAAAUGUUUAGAGCAUGAAUAAGGUUAACUAACUGCUUCUCAAUAAAAGGAAAAACUUUCUAAUUGUCAGAGUUAUCCACUGGGUAAAUGGGCUGCUAGGGAUCUCCCUGUCAGGGGAGUGUUAGUAGAGUACCAGAGCAGGGAGUGGGGAGUAGAGGCAUGGAUGUGAAUUCACUGGUAGCUUGGAUUCCUAAAGAUGUGAACCAUGAACAAGUUUCACUGGAAUCAGCUAGGAGUGUUGGUUACUAAUAGAAAGUACCCCCAACUCAGGAGAUUUGGAUACUGCAAAUCUGGGGCAGGCCAGAAGUCUGUAUGCAAAACAUCAUCCCCAGGAAAUGUUGAAACACACCCCAUUUGGGGACUACUGAACCUUGCGGCCUUUGAGGCCAUUUGCAGUAAGAUUUUGUGUGUGAAGACCCUUCAUAAACCAUGAAGUGCUGUCCAGAAGUCGACUCCAGGAUGUCUCCCAAACAUGAAGAUGGGAAUUGAAUAUUCAGGCUGGGGCUACAGCUCCUCGGACUCAGGAAGGUUGCGGACCCAGCCCUGGGCAACUCUGUUGAAGCUAGGUCUGAGGCGAAGAAGUUCCAAGCCACUGAUGAGCUCUGGGACGAAUGGGGUGCCUGCCCUGGGAAGAGUCUCCCCCACUAAGGGUCCUCCAAAGGGCACUGGGGUCCUGGUGAGAGAAAAGCAGCAGGACAGGUGUGCUGUGUGGGAGAGCACUGGAUGGCAGAGCACUGACAUUUAGGUCACCAUGUGAGGCCCCCUCCCUGCCUCCCUCUGGGCCCGUUUCCCCACCUAUAUGGUAAGGCCUUAUAUUAUCCUUAACAGGUUUCCCCAGCUCUGUCCAUUCCCUAGUCUGCCUCUAGUAGGGAUGGCUUGGUGCUUGGGAAUAGGAAUGAAAUUUUCAAAGCUCAAAUUGGGUUGUCCCAAACAAAACUCUAGGUUUCCCCUAAGUAAAGCUCCAGAAGACAGUAGAGCUGGAAUGGGGUUUAUCCUUCUCUGCUCAUCUCCCCUUAGAACAAUAUACCCACAGGCCAGAGAGGGAAGAGAGGGUUAGAAGGAGCACCAAGAAUUAGGAAAUGCAAGUUAUAACAGAGACACCACACCCCAUUUCUCACCCAUAAGACUAGUGAGAAGAAAUAAUUUGAAAAUGGGGCAAAGUUUCACUCAGAUACUGCUGGUUGGAAGGUAAACUGGUGCUGCUACCUUGGACAACUUGGCAGGAUCUUUUUAAUCUAAAAAUGUGCAAACUGUCAACCAACAACUGCACCUGUAAGUAUACGGCUUAGAGAAGAACAUGCACAUACACACAAAGAAACAGGUAUAAGCAGUGACUGGUGACAAACCAGUAAGGCCCGUAUGUCGAGUGGCAGAGCCAUGGACAAGACAGACGUGGUGUAUUCACAAGGUGGAAUACCAUAGAGCGGCUUAAAAGGAAUGAAAAGAUUCGUAUGUAUUAAGUAGGAUAGAUUUCAAAAGCAUAAUACUGAGUCAAAAAGGCAAGCAAGAUACAGAAUGAGAUACAAAGGAUUAAAACACACACACAUGCAUGUAAAACAAUGUCAUCCACUAUAGGAAUGGAGCUGCUGGGAGAAAAUGAUCUGAAAAUAUACCUACCCGACCACAGUGUCACCUUUGGGAAGGGAACUGAAAUGGAGACUGGUGAAUAGGGGCCCUCUCUUUAUUUGUAGUUGCUUGUGUGUGUGUGUUUUAAGAAAAUGUUAUUUUUAAACUGUGUUUUCAUCUUAAGAAGACUUAAAAAGUAUUGCUCAUAUAGUGUUUUCCUCGAAGCCUGGGAGCAAUGAGAAUGGGGGAGUGCUUUCUCCCCUGGGGCAGAAAGACAGACCUUGGGCCAGGGCCUGGACUCCAGCCAGGACAGCGGUUCUGCCCAGACCACCCCGGCUGUGGCAGCAACAGCCAGGCCCGGCGGGAACAGGCUGGGCAGUUUCCAAGCUGCACAGGCUUCACAAUCCAGUCCUUGACUGGAAGCCCAGAGCCCUGGAUCCUUAGCACAGCUUGGCCACUAACACCACUGUUGCCCCCUGUCAGCUUCAGUGGGUUCUUCUGGGCCCUGGGCUCACGGCCCCCUACGGCUCUCCUGCUGAUGGGAAUGUGCUUCCGCCCGUCCUAGCUGCGGCCUGAGAUAGAUGGGGCUACAACUUGAGUUGGCCAGCCUGGAAGCCAGCGCCCUGGACUGAAUGUCUGCUGAGGGUUUUAAAUAGCUGGGCAGGCGGGGGCUGAGGGCCCCCAGGAGGAGAGAACACAGUCUCGCCUGGCGGAAACCCCAGAAUGCCUGCCAAUGGCUCGUGGCUCACACGGUGUCUGUUGGGCACAGUUCUUCCCAUCUGGGCCCUCCCUGGCUAUCAGCUGUUUGAGGGAGGUCACCUCCCUUCUGAGCAGUCUCUUCUCAAGGCUGAUCACCCUCAAGUUGUCAGACAGUCUCUGCAUGUGGUCUGAGCAGGUGCCAGAAGAGUUGGACCAUGUCCUGCUCUUGGGGACCCUCCUCUUUUUCGCUUACUGAAGUCCAAGCCAGAGGAGCAUUUUUCAGAGAUAGCAUCAGACUGAGGAAGCCAGUUGCAGUUGAAAUGCAUUCCCCCAGCCCAAGGUCUUCCUCCAGUGCCAGGCUCCUUCCUAUCUUGACUCCUAUGAUUUGUCUUUGCACCCCUAGGCCGGAACACUAAGUUUAUCCCUCUCCAGUGCUC